UUGACCUCAAAUCAGGUAGGACUACCCGCUGAACUUAAGCAUAUCAAUAAGCGGAGGAAAAGAAACUAACAAGGAUUCCCCUAGUAACUGCGAGUGAAGCGGGAAAAGCUCAAAUUUGAAAUCUGGCAGUCUUUUUUUUCUUCUUGGCUGUCCGAG
This 156-nucleotide ribosomal RNA is filed under the name Amanita sp. 'instannea'. Its description in RNAcentral is "partial 28S ribosomal RNA". It matches the Rfam family "Eukaryotic large subunit ribosomal RNA", at positions 1 to 150 of the family's 3401-position model. The record is from RNAcentral. Lineage: Eukaryota; Fungi; Basidiomycota; Agaricomycetes; Agaricales; Amanitaceae.